CCAAUAGCGUAUAUUAAAGUUGUUGCAGUUAAAAAGCUCGUAGUUGAAUUUCGGGAUCAAUAUAUCGGUCGUGCCAUUGGUACGUACUGGUAUCAUUGGUUUCUCCUUUCUGACGAACCAUGAUGUCAUUAAUUUGGUGUUAUGGGAAGUUAGGACUGUUACUUUGAAAAAAUUAGAGUGUUUAAAGCAGGCUUUAGCUUGAAUACAUUAGCAUGGAAUAAUGAAAUAGGACGUUCGAACCUAUUUUGUUGGUUUCUAGGAUCAACGUAAUGAUUAAUAGGGAUAGUUGGGGGCAUUAGUAUUCAAUUGUCAGAGGUGAAAUUCUUGGAUUUAUUGAAGACUAACUACUGCGAAAGCAUUUGCCAAGGAUGUUUUCAUUAAUCAAGAACGAAAGUUAGGGGAUCGAAGACGAUCAGAUACCGUCGUAGCCUUAACCAUAAACUAUGCCGACUAGGGAUCGGAUGAUGUUAAUUUUUUAAUGACUCAUUCGGCGCCUUACG
RNAcentral lists this ribosomal RNA (500 nucleotides) under uncultured Glomeromycotina. RNAcentral's name for it is "partial small subunit ribosomal RNA". It matches the Rfam family "Eukaryotic small subunit ribosomal RNA", at positions 591 to 1092 of the family's 1831-position model. The record is from RNAcentral. Lineage: Eukaryota; Fungi; Glomeromycota.